This 201-nucleotide ribosomal RNA is filed under the name Triticum aestivum (bread wheat). RNAcentral describes it as "partial small subunit ribosomal RNA". The record is from RNAcentral. Lineage: Eukaryota; Viridiplantae; Streptophyta; Magnoliopsida; Poales; Poaceae.
GCUGCACCGUGCCACCGAGCCUCACCCGACCAGUUGACCACCACGGUGCCCCCGACCUGACGCUUCUCCCUCUCCCUCCCCAACGCAUCGGGCAACCCACCCCUUCCAACCCUCUCCCACUGAUUCGCUCGCCGCGCCCGCGCGAGAUCCAGCCGCGCCCCCCGCCGAGAUCUCCCGGCGGAUCACUAGGACGGCGCCGCC